CCAGACUCCUACGGGAGGCAGCAGUGAGGAAUAUUGGUCAAUGGCCGCAGGGCUGAACCAGCCAAGUCGCGUGAGGGAUGACGGUCCUAUGGAUUGUAAACCUCUUUUGUCAGGGAGCAAAGGGCGCCACGUGUGGCGUUUUGCGAGUACCUGAAGAAAAAGCAUCGGCUAACUCCGUGCCAGCAGCCGCGGUAAUACGGAGGAUGCGAGCGUUAUCCGGAUUUAUUGGGUUUAAAGGGUGCGCAGGCGGGGAGUUAAGUCAGCGGUAAAAUUCCGGGGCUCAACCCCGACAAGCCGUUGAAACUGGCUUGCUAGAGUGGGCGAGAAGUAUGCGGAAUGCGUGGUGUAGCGGUGAAAUGCAUAGAUAUCACGCAGAACUCCGAUUGCGAAGGCAGCAUACCGGCGCCCAACUGACGCUCAGGCACGAAAGCGUGGGUAUCGAACAGGAUUAGAUACCCCAGUAAU
Molecule: ribosomal RNA, 465 nt
Filed under: uncultured bacterium
Lineage: Bacteria
Description: bacterial SSU rRNA
Rfam family: Bacterial small subunit ribosomal RNA
Source: RNAcentral